GAGUUUGAUCAUGGCUCAGAUUGAACGCUGGCGGCAGGCCUAACACAUGCAAGUCGAACGGUAACAGAAAGCAGCUUGCUGCUUUGCUGACGAGUGGCGGACGGGUGAGUAAUGUCUGGGAAACUGCCUGAUGGAGGGGGAUAACUACUGGAAACGGUAGCUAAUACCGCAUAACGUCGCAAGACCAAAGAGGGGGACCUUCGGGCCUCUUGCCAUCGGAUGUGCCCAGAUGGGAUUAGCUUGUUGGUGGGGUAACGGCUCACCAAGGCGACGAUCCCUAGCUGGUCUGAGAGGAUGACCAGCCACACUGGAACUGAGACACGGUCCAGACUCCUACGGGAGGCAGCAGUGGGGAAUAUUGCACAAUGGGCGCAAGCCUGAUGCAGCCAUGCCGCGUGUAUGAAGAAGGCCUUCGGGUUGUAAAGUACUUUCAGCGGGGAGGAAGGGAGUAAAGUUAAUACCUUUGCUCAUUGACGUUACCCGCAGAAGAAGCACCGGCUAACUCCGUGCCAGCAGCCGCGGUAAUACGGAGGGUGCGAGCGUUAAUCGGAAUUACUGGGCGUAAAGCGCACGCAGGCGGUUUGUUAAGUCAGAUGUGAAAUCCCCGGGCUCAACCUGGGAACUGCAUCUGAUACUGGCAAGCUUGAGUCUCGUAGAGGGGGGUAGAAUUCCAGGUGUAGCGGUGAAAUGCGUAGAGAUCUGGAGGAAUACCGGUGGCGAAGGCGGCCCCCUGGACGAAGACUGACGCUCAGGUGCGAAAGCGUGGGGAGCAAACAGGAUUAGAUACCCUGGUAGUCCACGCCGUAAACGAUGUCGACUUGGAGGUUGUGCCCUUGAGGCGUGGCUUCCGGAGCUAACGCGUUAAGUCGACCGCCUGGGGAGUACGGCCGCAAGGUUAAAACUCAAAUGAAUUGACGGGGGCCCGCACAAGCGGUGGAGCAUGUGGUUUAAUUCGAUGCAACGCGAAGAACCUUACCUGGUCUUGACAUCCACAGAACUUUCCAGAGAUGGAUUGGUGCCUUCGGGAACUGUGAGACAGGUGCUGCAUGGCUGUCGUCAGCUCGUGUUGUGAAAUGUUGGGUUAAGUCCCGCAACGAGCGCAACCCUUAUCCUUUGUUGCCAGCGGUCCGGCCGGGAACUCAAAGGAGACUGCCAGUGAUAAACUGGAGGAAGGUGGGGAUGACGUCAAGUCAUCAUGGCCCUUACGACCAGGGCUACACACGUGCUACAAUGGCGCAUACAAAGAGAAGCGACCUCGCGAGAGCAAGCGGACCUCAUAAAGUGCGUCGUAGUCCGGAUUGGAGUCUGCAACUCGACUCCAUGAAGUCGGAAUCGCUAGUAAUCGUGGAUCAGAAUGCCACGGUGAAUACGUUCCCGGGCCUUGUACACACCGCCCGUCACACCAUGGGAGUGGGUUGCAAAAGAAGUAGGUAGCUUAACCUUCGGGAGGGCGCUUACCACUUUGUGAUUCAUGACUGGGGUGAAGUCGUAACAAGGUAACCGUAGGGGAACCUGCGGUUGGAUCACC
RNAcentral lists this ribosomal RNA (1528 nucleotides) under Escherichia coli 3-020-07_S1_C1. RNAcentral's name for it is "bacterial SSU rRNA". It matches the Rfam family "Bacterial small subunit ribosomal RNA". Lineage: Bacteria; Pseudomonadati; Pseudomonadota; Gammaproteobacteria; Enterobacterales; Enterobacteriaceae. The record is from RNAcentral.